Molecule: transfer RNA, 88 nt
Filed under: Candidatus Bathyarchaeota archaeon
Lineage: Archaea; Thermoproteati; Candidatus Bathyarchaeota
Also listed under: 1 other name
Description: tRNA-Ser
Rfam family: tRNA
About the family: Transfer RNA (tRNA) molecules are approximately 80 nucleotides in length. Their secondary structure includes four short double-helical elements and three loops (D, anti-codon, and T loops).
Source: RNAcentral
GCCGGGGUUUCCUAGCCAGGUAAGGAGCAGGCCUGCUAAGUCUGUGGCCCUCUGGGCCUCGUGGGUUCAAAUCCCACCCCCGGCGCCA